GUGACAUACCACUUGUUGCCUCGGCGGAUCAGCCCGCUCCCGGUAAAACGGGACGGCCCGCCAGAGGACCCCUAAACUCUGUUUCUAUAUGUAACUUCUGAGUAAAACCAUAAAUAAAUCAAAACUUUCAACAACGGAUCUCUUGGUUCUGGCAUCGAUGAAGAACGCAGCAAAAUGCGAUAAGUAAUGUGAAUUGCAGAAUUCAGUGAAUCAUCGAAUCUUUGAACGCACAUUGCGCCCGCCAGUAUUCUGGCGGGCAUGCCUGUUCGAGCGUCAUUUCAACCCUCAAGCACAGCUUGGUGUUGGGACUCGCGUUAAUUCGCGUUCCCCAAAUUGAUUGGCGGUCACGUCGAGCUUCCAUAGCGUAGUAGUAAAACCCUCGUUACUGGUAAUCGUCGCGGCCACGCCGUUAAACCCCAACUUCUGAAUGUUGACCUCGGAUCAGGUAGGAAUACCCGCUGAACUUAA
This 468-nucleotide ribosomal RNA is filed under the name Fusarium oxysporum. RNAcentral's name for it is "eukaryotic LSU rRNA". The stretch from base 123 to 276 matches the Rfam family "5.8S ribosomal RNA". The record is from RNAcentral. Lineage: Eukaryota; Fungi; Ascomycota; Sordariomycetes; Hypocreales; Nectriaceae.